CCGGCCGGAGAGAUGAAUUCCUUUCACUAUCGCAUGGCUUCGCAUCCAGACUCUCCUACAAUCCCUUUCCAAUUCAAAUCCCAACAAAAUUGUUCUUUGAUUAAGCAAUACAAUCUGCAUCUCCCCUUCUAGAUGAAGGCCCAAUCUUAAUUUUGCCAUAAUAAUGUCUAGAGACGGCCUCCCCUUCAAGAAUCGGCCGAUCAACAUCAUCAAUUCUAGCGUGUGAAUGAGACGAAUCUGCUUGAUCGGUUCUGUGUAUCGCGAUUUCAGAAUCCUCUUCGCAAUCGCAUCCUUGCGUCAUGAUUUCUGGAAAUAAGGCAAAAUCUGCUGCCCAAUCCGACCUCCUGAGGAUGCUUCACAUUUUGCCGUUGAAAUCGCAUUUUCCGGCGGCUUCGCCAUGGAUACGGGAUACGAAGAGACCUUCGUCCGUCGGAGACGAUGGUCCAUGGCCGGGAGACGAAUCCAGUUGCAGUUCUUGGCUUUUUUUAAAUUUUAAUUUUAAUUAAUUAUUUUAAAAUAUUGUUUUUAAAAUUGAUAACCAGCACAUCAGGUAAAAUAGGUCAGUUUAGGUUAAAUUGCAUUAUUUUGUAUAGUUCAGGAACUUAAUUGCAUUGUUUUUUAAUUCGAUGGCCUAAUGAUAGUUUAGUGCGUAA
This is a long non-coding RNA of Ipomoea triloba (trilobed morning glory), 653 nucleotides long. RefSeq lists it as uncharacterized. The transcript is spliced from 2 exons. Lineage: Eukaryota; Viridiplantae; Streptophyta; Magnoliopsida; Solanales; Convolvulaceae. The record is from RefSeq and is a predicted model, not a curated record.